CCUGCAUGACCUUAUAGACUGCCUUGAGAAGAACCGGGAUGAAACACACGCAGUGGAGCAGGCUUGCACGGAAGAGCAGAAGGAGCUAGCUGCUGCCAGGACAGACGGGGCAGGAGGCAACGCGGCCAGGGGGACAGCGGCACCGCGGAGCUGCUGGAAUUUUCAGUACUUGAGAAUGGGCGCUAGAGAAUGAAAUCCUACCACACAUUUAUCUACAGAUCAGUGUUAAAUGGUUCUGAUCUUCACCUUCAAGUGCUGACAACUGAAGGCCUGAGUGUAUGAAUAAAUUAUCAUCAGGUAAGCUUUUCUGUGGACUU
RNAcentral lists this long non-coding RNA (317 nucleotides) under Struthio camelus australis. Its description in RNAcentral is "lncRNA (ENSSCUG00000002600.1)". The record is from RNAcentral. Lineage: Eukaryota; Metazoa; Chordata; Aves; Struthioniformes; Struthionidae.